This 398-nucleotide ribosomal RNA is filed under the name uncultured bacterium. Its description in RNAcentral is "partial 16S ribosomal RNA". It matches the Rfam family "Bacterial small subunit ribosomal RNA", at positions 523 to 918 of the family's 1533-position model. The record is from RNAcentral.
AUACGUAGGGUGCGAGCGUUGUCCGGAAUUACUGGGCGUAAAGAGCUCGUAGGUGGUUUGUCGCGUCGUCUGUGAAAUUCCGGGGCUUAACUCCGGGCGUGCAGGCGAUACGGGCAUAACUUGAGUACGGUAGGGGAGACUGGAAUUCCUGGGGUAGCGGUGAAAUGCGCAGAUAUCAGGAGGAACACCGGUGGCGAAGGCGGGUCUCUGGGCAGUAACUGACGCUGAGGAGCGAAAGCAUGGGUAGCGAACAGGAUUAGAUACCCUGGUAGUCCAUGCCGUAAACGGUGGGCGCUAGGUGUAGGGGUCUUCCACGACUUCUGUGCCGUAGCUAACGCAUUAAGCGCCCCGCCUGGGGAGUACGGCCGCAAGGCUAAAACUUAAAGGAAUUGACGGGG